CAUUGGCUCAACCAANGUAUGCUUUGGAAACUGUUAGACUUGAGUGCAGAAGGGGAGAGUGGAAUUCCAUGUGUAGCGGUGAAAUGCGUAGAUAUAUGGAGGANCACCGGUGGCGAAAGCGGCUCUNUGGUCUGUCACUGACGCUGAGGCUCGAAAGCGUGGGUAGCGAACAGGAUUAGAUACCCUGGUAGUNCACGCCGUAAACGCUGAGUGCUAGGUGUUAGGUCCNUUCCGGGACUUAGUGCCGACGCUAACGCAUUAAGCACUCCGCCUGGGGAGUACGACCGCAAGGUUGAAACUCAAAGGAAUUGACGGGGGCCCGCACAAGCGGUGGAGCAUGUGGUUUAAUUCGAAGCAACGCGAAGAACCUUACCAGGUCUUGACAUCCCGAUGCCCGCUCUAGAGAUAGAGUUUUUCUUCGGAACAUCGGAGACAGGUGGUGCAUGGUUGUCGUCAGCUCGUGUCGUGAGAUGUUGGGUUAAGUCCCGCAACGAGCGCAACCCUUAUUGUUAGUUGCCAUCAUUAAGUUGGGCACUCUAGCGAGACUGCCGGUAAUAAACCGGAGGAAGGUGGGGAUGACGUCAAAUCAUCAUGCCCCUUAUGACCUGGGCUACACACGUGCUACAAUGGUUGGUACAACGAGUCGCAAGCCGGUGACGGCAAGCUAAUCUCUGAAAGCCAAUCUCAGUUCGGAUUGUAGGCUGCAAC
Molecule: ribosomal RNA, 708 nt
Filed under: uncultured bacterium
Lineage: Bacteria
Description: bacterial SSU rRNA
Rfam family: Bacterial small subunit ribosomal RNA
Source: RNAcentral